AAUGAACGUUGGCGGCGUGGAUUAGACAUGCAAGUCGUGCGAUAACCCCGCAAGGGGGGAAAGCGGCGAAAGGGAGAGUAACGCGUGGGUACCUGCCCCUUGGUCCGGAAUAGCUGCGGGAAACUGCAGGUAAUGCCGGAUAAUAUCCUCGGAUCAAAGGUGUGAUUCCGCCGAGGGAGGGGCCCGCGUUCUAUUAGCUAGUUGGUAGGGUAAUGGCCUACCAAGGCGACGAUGGAUACCGGGUGUGAGAGCAUGACCCGGCUCACUGGGACUGAGACACUGGCCAGACACCUACGGGUGGCUGCAGUCGAGAAUCUUCGGCAAUGGGCGCAAGCCUGAACGAGCGACGCCGCGUGCGGGAUGAAGGCCUUCGGGUUGUAAACCGCUGUCGUAGAGGAGGAAUUGCCAUGGGGUUCUCUCCAUGGUUUGACCUAUUCUAGGAGGAAGGACGGGCUAAGUUCGUGCCAGCCGCCGCAGUAA
This 480-nucleotide ribosomal RNA is filed under the name uncultured bacterium. Its description in RNAcentral is "partial 16S ribosomal RNA". It matches the Rfam family "Bacterial small subunit ribosomal RNA", at positions 28 to 523 of the family's 1533-position model. The record is from RNAcentral.